GAAUUCGAUUCAGGCCUAACACAUGCAAGUCGAGCGGGGAAAGGUAGCUUGCUACCUGACCUAGCGGCGGACGGGUGAGUAAUGCUUAGGAAUCUGCCUAUUAGUGGGGGACAACAUUCCGAAAGGAAUGCUAAUACCGCAUACGCCCUACGGGGGAAAGCAGGGGAUCUUCGGACCUUGCGCUAAUAGAUGAGCUUAAGUGGGAUUAGCUAGUUGGUGGGGUAAAGGCCUACCAAGGCGAUGAUCUGUAGCGGGUCUGAGAGGAUGAUCCGCCACACUGGGACUGAGACACGGCCCAGACUCCUACGGGAGGCAGCAGUGGGGAAUAUUGGACAAUGGGGGAACCCUGAUCCAGCCAUGCCGCGUGUGUGAAGAAGACCUUAUGGUUGUAAAGCACAAGGAGCGAGGAGGAGGCUUACCUAGUUAAUACCUGGGAUAAGUGGACGUACUCGCAG
This 455-nucleotide ribosomal RNA is filed under the name uncultured bacterium. RNAcentral's name for it is "bacterial SSU rRNA". It matches the Rfam family "Bacterial small subunit ribosomal RNA", at positions 39 to 484 of the family's 1533-position model. The record is from RNAcentral.